CAGCACCUCAAGUGGUCAGGAUGAUUAUUGGGCCUAAAGCAUCCGUAGCCGGCUCUGUAAGUUUUCGGUUAAAUCUGUACGCUCAACGUACAGGCUGCCGGGAAUACUGCAGAGCUAGGGAGUGGGAGAGGUAGACGGUACUCGGUAGGAAGGGGUAAAAUCCUUUGAUCUAUUGAUGACCACCUGUGGCGAAGGCAGUCUACCAGAACACGUCCGACGGUGAGGGAUGAAAGCUGGGGGAGCAAACCGGAUUAGAGACCCGAGUAGUCC
This 270-nucleotide ribosomal RNA is filed under the name uncultured archaeon. RNAcentral's name for it is "partial 16S ribosomal RNA". It matches the Rfam family "Archaeal small subunit ribosomal RNA", at positions 477 to 747 of the family's 1478-position model. The record is from RNAcentral.